Tachyglossus aculeatus (Australian echidna) is the source of this 333-nucleotide long non-coding RNA. RefSeq lists it as uncharacterized. The transcript has 4 exons. NCBI's taxonomy places the organism in Eukaryota, Metazoa, Chordata, Mammalia, Monotremata, Tachyglossidae. The record is from RefSeq and is a predicted model, not a curated record.
UCCCCCUUCUGUGAGGAUGCAGAGCAGCUGAUUCCCAUGGAGAAGUAGAAUCAGAAGCUGAGCUUCCAUCUCUGUGGUCUGCGAUCGGUUGAAAGGCGUGGGCCCAGAUGGCAUAUUGCAGCUACAGGAAGGAUGUUCCACAGCUCCCACCACAGCCCUCAUUUCAAGUGCUCCAUUGUGACACCGCACUCCAUUGCGUAGGGGCUCUUCUGUGCCAUCCCCAGAGAAGGCCUCGCUGAUGUUUCUCCUGGAGACCAAGCGCCUGACAGAUGGGGCUUUCGGCCACUGACAGAGGACAGGGUGGCGAGACGUGGGCCUCUAUGAUUCCUGUAA